This 22-nucleotide microRNA is filed under the name Dasypus novemcinctus (nine-banded armadillo). Its description in RNAcentral is "dno-miR-450a-5p". Its record names the gene dno-miR-450a-5p. RNAcentral also lists the same sequence under 21 other names. Lineage: Eukaryota; Metazoa; Chordata; Mammalia; Cingulata; Dasypodidae. The record is from miRBase by way of RNAcentral.
UUUUGCGAUGUGUUCCUAAUAU